This 95-nucleotide ribosomal RNA is filed under the name Briza minor. RNAcentral's name for it is "partial 26S ribosomal RNA". It matches the Rfam family "Eukaryotic large subunit ribosomal RNA", at positions 1 to 94 of the family's 3401-position model. The record is from RNAcentral. Lineage: Eukaryota; Viridiplantae; Streptophyta; Magnoliopsida; Poales; Poaceae.
ACGACCCCAGGUCAGACGGGACUACCCGCUGAAUUUAAGCAUAUAAAUAAGCGGAGGAGAAGAAACUUACAAGGAUUCCCUUAGUAACGGCGAGC